AUUGAACGCUGGCGGCAGGCCUAACACAUGCAAGUCGAACGCUUGGCGGACGGGUGAGUAAUGUCUGGGAAACUGCCUGAUGGAGGGGGAUAACUACUGGACACGGUAGCUAAUACCGCAUACCAUCAGAUGUGCCCAGAUGGGGUUCGCUUGUUGGUGGUGUAACGGCGCACCAAGGCGCCACUCCCUAGCUGGUCUGAGAGGAUGACCAGCCACACUGGAACGGAGACACGGUCCAGACUCCUACGGUAGGCAGCAGUGGGGAAUAUUGCACAGUGGGCGCAAGCCUGAUGCAGCCAUGCCGCGUGUAUGAAGAAGGCCUGCGGGUUGGAAAGUACUUUCAGCGGGGAGGCUUUACCCGCAGAAGAAGCACCGGCUAACUCCGUGCCAGCAGCCGCGGUAAUUC
RNAcentral lists this ribosomal RNA (406 nucleotides) under uncultured bacterium. RNAcentral's name for it is "partial 16S ribosomal RNA". It matches the Rfam family "Bacterial small subunit ribosomal RNA", at positions 30 to 526 of the family's 1533-position model. The record is from RNAcentral.